Molecule: ribosomal RNA, 103 nt
Filed under: Caerostris darwini
Lineage: Eukaryota; Metazoa; Arthropoda; Arachnida; Araneae; Araneidae
Source: RNAcentral
ACCAUGCUGAAUAUACCGGUUCUCGUUAGAUCACCGAAGUUAAGCAUCAUUGGGCGCGGUCAGUACUUGGGUGGGUGACCACCUGGGAACACCGCGUGCCGUU